AUUGAACGCUGGCGGCAGGCUUAACACAUGCAAGUCGAGCGGGGUGAUGGUGCUUGCACUAUCACUUAGCGGCGGACGGGUGAGUAAUGCUUAGGAAUCUGCCUAUUAGUGGGGACAACAUCUCGAAAGGGAUGCUAAUACCGCAUACGUCCUACGGGAGAAAGCAGGGGAUCACUUGUGACCUUGCGCUAAUGGAUGAGCCUAAGUCGGAUUAGCUAGUUGGUGGGGUAAAGGCCUACCAAGGCGACGAUCUGUAGCGGGUCUGAGAGGAUGAUCCGCCACACUGGGACUGAGACACGGCCCAGACUCCUACGGGAGGCGGCAGUGGGGAAUAUUGGACAAUGGGGGGAACCCUGAUCCAGCCAUGCCGCGUGUGUGAAGAAGGCCUUAUGGUUGUAAAGCACUUUAAGCGAGGAGGAGGCUCUUUUGGUUAAUACCCAAGAUGAGUGGACGUUACUCGCAGAAUAAGCACCGGCUAACUCUGUGCCAGCCGCCGCGGUAA
RNAcentral lists this ribosomal RNA (502 nucleotides) under uncultured bacterium. Its description in RNAcentral is "partial 16S ribosomal RNA". It matches the Rfam family "Bacterial small subunit ribosomal RNA", at positions 30 to 523 of the family's 1533-position model. The record is from RNAcentral.